This 450-nucleotide ribosomal RNA is filed under the name uncultured bacterium. RNAcentral describes it as "bacterial SSU rRNA". It matches the Rfam family "Bacterial small subunit ribosomal RNA", at positions 328 to 792 of the family's 1533-position model. The record is from RNAcentral.
UGUCCAGACUCCUACGGGAGGCAGCAGUGGGGGAUAUUGGACAAUGGGGGAAACCCUGAUCCAGCGACGCCGCGUGAGUGAAGAAGCAUUUCGGUAUGUAAAGCUCUAUCAGCAGGGAAGAAAGAAAUGACGGUACCUGAGUAAGAAGCCCCGGCUAACUACGUGCCAGCAGCCGCGGUAAUACGUAGGGGGCAAGCGUUAUCCGGAAUUACUGGGUGUAAAGGGAGCGUAGACGGUUAAGCAAGUCUGGAGUGAAAGGCGGGGGCCCAACCCCCGGACUGCUCUGGAAACUGUGUAACUGGAGUGCAGGAGAGGUAAGCGGAAUUCCUAGUGUAGCGGUGAAAUGCGUAGAUAUUAGGAGGAACACCAGUGGCGAAGGCGGCUUACUGGACUGUAACUGACGUUGAGGCUCGAAAGCGUGGGGAGCAAACAGGAUUAGAUACCCUUGUA